RNAcentral lists this ribosomal RNA (409 nucleotides) under uncultured bacterium. RNAcentral describes it as "bacterial SSU rRNA". It matches the Rfam family "Bacterial small subunit ribosomal RNA", at positions 612 to 1019 of the family's 1533-position model. The record is from RNAcentral.
ACUGGGGGAGGUCAGCCGAGACUGACGGGCUUGAGGGUCAGAGAGGAAGGUGGAAUUCCCGGUGUAGCGGUGGAAUGCGUAGAGAUCGGGAGGAACACCAGUGGCGAAGGCGGCCUUCUGGCUGACGACUGACGCUGAGGCGCGAAAGCGUGGGUAGCAAACGGGAUUAGAUACCCCGGUAGUCCACGCCCUAAACGAUGAGGGCUAGGUGUUGGUGGGAUUACCCAUCCGUGCCGAAGCAAACGCGUUAAGCCCUCCGCCUGGGGACUACGAGCGCAAGCUUAAAACUCAAAGGAAUUGACGGGGGCCCGCACAAGCAGCGGAGCGUGCGGUUCAAUUCGAUGCAACACGAAGAACCUUACCAGGGUUUGACAUGCGGAUGGUACCGAACUGAAAGGGGAGGGACCCG